AAACGGCCGCGGUACCCUAACCGUGCAAAGGUAGCAUAAUCAUUUGUCUACUAAUUAUAGACCUGUAUGAAAGGCAAAAUGAGGGUCUAACUGUCUCUUAUGGUCAAUCAAUUAAACUGAUCUCCCAGUAAAAAAGCUGGAAUAUCCCCAUAAGACCAGAAGACCCUGUGAAGCUUAAACUAAACUAUUAAACCAAAUAAUAGAUAAUUUCGGUUGGGGCGACCUUGGAAAAAAAAAGAACUUCCAAAUAAAUACCUGCUCUCUAGGUACCCUUAGGCCAACAAGCCGACCAAUGACCCAGCAUGGCUGAUAAUUGAACCAAGUUACUCCAGGGAUAACAGCGCAAUCUUCUUCAAGAGCCCAUAUCAAAAAGAAGGUUUACGACCUCGAUGUUGGAUCAGGACAUCCUAAUGGUGCAGCCGCUAUUAAGGGUUCGUUUGUUCAACGAUUAAUAGUCCUACGUGAUCUGAUUCCAAACCGGA
Molecule: ribosomal RNA, 482 nt
Filed under: Boiga sp. ZAM-2019a
Lineage: Eukaryota; Metazoa; Chordata; Lepidosauria; Squamata; Colubridae
Description: partial large subunit ribosomal RNA
Rfam family: Bacterial large subunit ribosomal RNA
Source: RNAcentral